This 427-nucleotide ribosomal RNA is filed under the name uncultured bacterium. RNAcentral's name for it is "bacterial SSU rRNA". It matches the Rfam family "Bacterial small subunit ribosomal RNA", at positions 355 to 774 of the family's 1533-position model. The record is from RNAcentral.
UGGGGAAUAUUGCACAAUGGGGGAAACCCUGAUGCAGCCAUGCCGCGUGUGUGAAGAAGGCCUUCGGGUUGUAAAGCACUUUCAGCGAGGAGGACAGGAUGGUAGCUAAUAACUGCCAACUGUGACGUUACUCGCCGAAGAAGCACCUGCUAACUCCGUGCCAGCAGCCGCGGUAAUACGGAGGGUGCAAGCGUUAAUCGGAAUUACUGGGCGUAAAGCGCACGCAGGCGGUUGGAUAAGUUAGAUGUGGAAGCCCCGGGCUCAACCUGGGAAUUGCAUUUAAAACUGUACAGCUAGAGUAUUGUAGAGGGGGGUAGAAUUCCAGGUGUAGCGGUGAAAUGCGUAGAGAUCGGGAGGAAUAACGGUGGCGAAGGCGGCCCCCUGGACAAAGACUGACGCUCAGGUGCGAAAGAGUGGGGAGCAGACA